RNAcentral lists this ribosomal RNA (313 nucleotides) under uncultured bacterium. RNAcentral's name for it is "bacterial SSU rRNA". It matches the Rfam family "Bacterial small subunit ribosomal RNA", at positions 30 to 334 of the family's 1533-position model. The record is from RNAcentral.
AUUGAACGCUGGCGGCAGGCCUAACACAUGCAAGUCGAACGGUAACAGGAAGAAGCUUGCUUCCUUAAUCGAGUGGCGAACGGGUGAGUAACGCGUGAGGAACCUGCCUCAAAGAGGGGGACAACAGUUGGAAACGACUGCUAAUACCGCAUAAGCCCACAGCUCGGCAUCGAGCAGAGGGAAAAGGAGUGAUCCGCUUUGAGAUGGCCUCGCGUCCGAUUAGCUGGUUGGUGAGGUAACGGCCCACCAAGGCAACGAUCGGUAGCCGGACUGAGAGGUUGAACGGCCACAUUGGGACUGAGACACGGCCCAG